RNAcentral lists this ribosomal RNA (1136 nucleotides) under uncultured archaeon. RNAcentral's name for it is "bacterial SSU rRNA". It matches the Rfam family "Archaeal small subunit ribosomal RNA", at positions 80 to 1216 of the family's 1478-position model. The record is from RNAcentral.
GGCAGACGGCUCAGUAACACGUAGUCAAUCUAACCUAUGGACGAGGAUAACCUCGGGAAACUGAGAAUACUACUCGAUAGAUCAUUAUGCCUGGAACGGUUUAUGGUUCAAAUGAAUUUCGCCAUAGGAUGGGACUGCGGUCUAUCAGCUUGUUGGUGAGGUAAUGGCCCACCAAGGCUAUAACAGAUACGGGCUCUGAGAGGAGAAGCCCGGAGAUGGGUACUGAGACACGGACCCAGGCCCUAUGGGGCGCAGCAGGCGAGAAAACUUUGCAAUGUGCGAAAGCACGACAAGGUUAAUCCGAGUGGUUCCUGCUAAAGGAAUCUUUUGUUAGUCAUAAUACCACUAAUGAAUAAGGGGUGGGCAAGUUCUGGUGUCAGCCGCCGCGGUAAAACCAGCACCUCAAGUGGUCAGGAGGAUUAUUGGGCCUAAAGCAUCUGUAGCCAGCUUUGUGAGUUUUCGGUUAAAUCUAUAUGCUCAACAUAUAGGCUGCCGGGAAUACUGCAAAGCUAGGGAGUGGGAGAGGUAGACGGUACUCCGUAGGAAGGGGUAAAAUCCUUUGAUCUAUGGAUGACCACCUGUGGCGAAGGCGGUCUACCAGAACACGUUCGACGGUGAGGGAUGAAAGCUGGGGGAGCAAACCGGAUUAGAUACCCGGGUAGUCCCAGCUGUAAACUAUGCAAACUCAGUGAUGCAUUGGCUUGUGGCCAGUGCAGUGCCGCAGGGAAGCCGUUAAGUUUGCCGCCUGGGAAGUACGUACGCAAGUAUGAAACUCAAAGGAAUUGGCGGGGGAGCACCACAAGGGGUGAAGCCUGCGGUUCAAUUGGAGUCAACGCCAGAAAUCUUACCCGGAGAGACAGCAGGAUGAAGGUCAAGCUGAAGACUUUACCAGACAAGCUGAGAAGUGGUGCAUGGCCGUCGCCAGCUCGUGCCGUGAGAUGUCCUGUUAAGUCAGGUAACGAGCGAGAUCCUUGCCUCUAGUUGCCACCAUUACUCUCUGGAGUAGUGGGGCGAAUUAGCGGGACUGCCGUAGUUAAUACGGAGGAAGGAGAGGGCCACGGCAGGUCAGUAUGCCCUGAAACUCUGGGGCCACACGCGGGCUGCAAUGGUAGUGACAAUGGGUUCCGAAUCCGAAA